This 4720-nucleotide long non-coding RNA is filed under the name Lactuca sativa (garden lettuce). Lineage: Eukaryota; Viridiplantae; Streptophyta; Magnoliopsida; Asterales; Asteraceae. The record is from RNAcentral.
AAAAGGAAAGUUGUAGAUCUUGUUUUUACCUACGCGUGGAUAUAAAGAACGUCAAAAACGGAGUUCGUAUGCGAAAGUUAUGAAUUUUUAAAGAUUGGUUGUUUUACCUGCGUCCGACACCACUUGUCAGCACCAAACUUCGCCUUGGAGCCUACGCAAAACUCACGACGUGAACACCCUUUUUCACGACGUGAAUUGGCCCAGACAGCCUAUAAAUAGAGGCAUAAAUCACCCCCAAAACUCACACCUUUCAUACUCUUUCUCUCCCAUUACCCCCAAACCAUCUUCCCCUUUCCCUAGCACCUCCUAGGUGCUAGAGGCAAGUCCCGGAGCGCCAGACGGCUCAAAGAAGAAGAGCCUUUCGGCUUGGGAACGCUGCUCCAGCGGAGCCCGGUUUUCUUUAAAACCCGCUGUAAGUGAGCUGCGCCUACACUAUUUUUAAAAUAGCUUUCAAAUAAUUAUAGUAAUGUUAUUAGGUUCUAAAAUAAUUAUUUGGGCUAUUAUUAUGAGUUAUAUAGAGUGUUGUUUAAUGCUUAUAUAAUAAUAAUAAUAGCUAGACUAUUAAUUAUUCGCAGUUAACGUUAGACUAAUCCCUAGUGGUAAUGAUACUAGGUUUUCUCGGAGGAAAUUGUUUUUAUAUAACGAAGUGCUAUCCUAGUGAUAAGUCACCACCUUAUCGGGUGAGUGCAUAGUUACUUUCAUCUUAUACAUAGAUAUGAAGUAUUUUAUAUAAAUUACGUGCUAUGUUUGCAUAUUACCUGAGUACUUGCUGUCUAUGUUGGAUGAACAAUUUUAUACACGUUUUAAAUGAUUUAACCUGUAUAUGUAUUUUAUAUCUACAAAAUGUGUUGGGCAGAACAUGGGUAGAUGUAAUAGUUGUUGUGUGAUAAAAUAAAAUAAUGAGAGGCCUCGUUAUAGAUGUUAUUGAUGAUCCAGUCAUCUAGCGGAGUAUAGAUGACAACCACGGAUUAUUCUACAUAGUCCAGUGGAACACUAGCAAACUCGCAACCUGUAGGUGUUUAUUUGAACUGUGUGUUUAUUUGAACUGUGUGCUCACCAGGUGUACUCCAUCCCCCAUAUGGUUGCCUUAAGGACAUUUAUUGCUGAGGAAUCCCCUUAGCAGUAGUGUACAUCCCGAUGAUAGUCCUUAGACUAGGUCCCUUGUGUUAGAUGUUUUAGGGACGUAAAGUGAGGAUAACGGGAACGGGUAAUCGGGUUUGUUUGGUNCCCACAUCGGCUUGGAAGGAGAACGAAACAUUUCCUUAUAAAGGGGUGUGGAUCCCUUCCUUGCCACAACAACGCAUUUUAAAGCCGUGAGGGCAGUAGAUCCCAUAAGAACUCUGCAGUUAAGCGUGCUCGGGCGGGAGUAGUACCAGGAUGGGUGACCCCCUGGGAAGUCCUCGUGCCGAGUGGCCCAAAGCGGACAAUAUUGUGAUACGUGCCAGAGGGGGGUGUUACAUUAUAUCACAGGUGUCGAUAUGAAGUGACAUUACACUGAGACAUUAAAGAGAUGUAGAUCACUAGUGUAAAUAAAUGUAAGUUCUGUUUAUGCUUAUGUUCCUGUAUUGAAAAUGACAUCCCAAACGUUUUAAAAUGAAUAAAAUACGUUUCUUCGAAAAUGUUUUGAUAACGUAUUUAUCGUAUUUUUCUGGGAACAAAUUCUGCAACAUUUUUAUGAAUAGAACUACUCUGAUUUGUAUAAAGCAUAAACAAAAUCGGUCUUUUCUGUCCGUGAAAAUGGGGAUGUCACAGUUGGUAUCAGAGCAUUAGUUUAAGCGAACUAGGAAUUUGUAGGAAAUUUCUAGACUUAAACUUAGAAUGCUAAGCGAUGAUUGUGAGCUGUGAGCACUAGCUUAUGUAGGAAGUAUGCCUAAUAUGCUUUUAUGUGCUAAAUGAUUUAUGAUGCUUUGUGCUGCUAAAUGUAUGAUCGGAUCUAUGGUCUGUUGCCGACCAGAUCUGGAAACUUUAUGUGUUCAGAUUUCUAAACGUUUACUUACGGUAUUAGAACUGGCAUGUAACUUUUCGGAGUGAUAGGGAGAAUUAUACGUCGAUCAUAAAUAAAAUCUUCUCUAUCUAAAUUCUCGUCACUCUACACCGGACAUCUAAAUUCGAUGUGUAGAUCGACAUGAUGAACACUAGAAUCGGAUUUGGAAGUGGUAACCCGCAGCCCGAACCACCAGUGAUUGAGCAUGUGCUAGAGGUAGCAACUGUACCUGGGCCAAUCACGAUGGCCAGAGUACAAGCAAUGGUGCGGAUAAUGUUGGAUCAACAGAUGGAAGAAACAAGGCGUUUACUUUAACAAAGUAAGGACGAACUUACUGUGCUAGUACGCCAGACACCCGCUCUUGAGGCAACCAUCUGGGUUGCUAAGUCUGUCGAAGAAAUGAUCAACGAUAGGAUCACCAACAAGGUUGAAGUUGGCAAGAAGAGGAAAUUUGAGGGUUCUUCAAGGUCCAACAUGAAAAACUUAUUUUCACAGUCUGGAGGAGGAAGAGGUGAAGCAAAAUGGUGUAAUAGGAGAUACCCUAAGGAAGUGACCUGCUUCAAAUGCGGGAAGAUUGGUCAUUAUGCCCAUAAAUGCUCAACCAAGGAGGAAGUUUGCCUUAAGUGUAAUGGAGAGGGACACUUCAAGCAAGAUUGUCCGAUGAGAGCAACUACACCAAAUGUACUGCUAAAACACUAUGACGGAUACGAUGAGAAGGUGACUUGCUACAAAUAUGGAAGGACAGGGCAUUACGCCAACAAGUGCACAUCCAAGAGAAAGGUGUGAUACGGAUGUAACAAAGAAGGACAUUUAUCUAGGGACUACCCGAAGAAAAAUGAAGUAGCAGGAGCGAAUACACCUCCAGAGCUAAGGAGCAUCCUUGAAAAAGCAGCUGGCAACGCAAGGAAUCAAGAGUAAGGACGGAUGACCGAAGAUCAAGUUAUAAAGUAGUCACGUAGAGAGUACCACGUGGUGUAGCCUAUUAGAGGCAUAGUCUAGGGUGAACUUGAACACCUAUGUAAUAGUUUCAAGAAAUAAUAAAUCCUUCGUUUUGUUAUCUGGUGUGUUAAACUGUUAUGUGAUUUUCUUGUAUGGUGACUUGGAGACUGCGAGACAAUACUUGGGACGAGUAUGAGUAGGUGUGAAUGGUAGUAGAGGCCUAUACUACCGGAAGCAUAGGACUCACGCUUGGAUCAGGGAAAGUCACAAGGUUACCAAGAAGCCAAUAAUUGAUUCUGAUUUAUUCAAAUAUGUCGUUACCAUCGUUUCGGUAAUGACUAAGAAGAUUGUUGUUAUCCCGACCCUAGUGGUCAUAUCACAUUGAGUCUGACUACGAUGAGUAUAUUACGUGGUUCUGAGAACCAAGUUCGAUGUAACAUCUGACUUAAGCCGUAGGAUUGAAGUAAAAGAUGAUCGAAGUAAUCGGUAGAGGUAUCGCGAAGAUUGCUUGUAGCUAGAAAUUCUACCUUUUAAGAUGUGAUUAGAACAUGAAGGAAGGUAUAGUCUGUUCUGAAAUUUGACUCUAAAAGACCUGAGUCCAAGCAAUGCAUCAUACGAUGAGAGGUCGUUAGAACAUGACCCAUCGGUCUAUUAUGAUAAUUGAAGUAAGAAACUUAUCUCAACUUUGUUAAAGAAGGAUCCUCCAAUAAAGAUCGAGAUCGUGACAUGAAGAUCAUGAGAUAGAGAGCGGGUCCAAGAUCGGGCACCGCCUGCAGUCAGGAAGUCUUAAAGUUAGAUACUUGUUCGAAGAAACAACAAAGUUACGAUUAUUACUUAGGAUGAAGAGAUAACGUAUGGAGUCAUCAUGUGAGCCCUGUUUCGUUGAUGAUUGCGGGACGUAAUCAUCCUAAGGGGGAGAUAAUUGUAACGCUCGUAGAUCCAGGCUAGUCAAUUUAGAGAUAAUAGGGGUCGAAAACGACUUUUCGACAAAUGAUUAUUUAGAAUAACUAAUCUUAACCAAGCUGUAGAAUAUGUCUCAAGGGUUCCAUACAUAUAAAGAACGCCGAAAUCCGAGUUAUAACGAAGAAGUUAUGGCCCGUCGUAGUUUUACGGCAAAACCGGCACGGCACCAGGAGACGUAAAUAGUGAACUUACGAUGGAGGACUUUUUAGCCUUAGUAAUAUAAACCAAAGUUUUAGUAUAUGUUAAAACAAGAACAUACAAAAAAAGAACGCCCAAAUCUGACUUCGUAUGAGCAAGUUAUGAUUUUUCUAAGAUUUGGCAUAGCAGUGCACGGCCCGAAACUUGAAUUUUAGUUCGAGCUGUUUUUGGCUUACGCAACCUUAAUGGGAGUUUAAGAUCUCAUUAAUAGGAACUCAACGGUAAAAAGACAGACGGAAAUGGAGUCCGUAUGAAGGAGUUACGAACUCAUUGCGAUCAUUUAACAGUCUAAUCUCCUCCUACUGUUAAAUUUAAAAUCGGUUGAGAAUUAGCCAAUGGAGUCAAAAGGAAAGUUGUAGAUUUUGUUUUUACCUACGCGUGGAUAUAAAGAACGUCAAAAACGGAGUUCGUAUGCGAAAGUUAUGAAUUUUUAAAGAUUGGUUGUUUUACCUGCGUCCGACACCACUUGUCAGCACCAAACUUCGCCUUGGAGCCUACGCAAAACUCACGACGUGAAUUGGCCCAGACAGCCUAUAAAUAGAGGCAUAAAUCACCCCCAAAACUCACACCUUUCAUACUCUUUCUCUCACAUUACCCCCAAACCAUCUUCCCCUUUUCCUAGCACCUCCUAGGUGC